UUCCUUUUCUGUCCUUGUCUCCUGCCAACCCGCCGCUCAUUGUGGAGAGGGAAAGAGAGGAGAUGAGCAGAGCCGGUGCCCUGUCAUUUAGUGUUCAGACCCAAGAUUUGCAAGGCCUGAAUUGCAACUAGAGAGGCAACAAGUGACUCCUUAAAGAUGCCACAGGGCUGCAGAAGGGGACCUUGAAGAGGUUGAUGAAGUGAGAAGAAUGUUUCUCCCAACGACGAGAAGUAUGUCUAUAUUUUAACAAAAGUCUUGCUGAAUCCAGUACAAAGUCUGUUAUGCCUGAAAUGUGAUAGCCAUUUUUAGUUCUAUUAUUGUUACACAUUCUUUUUUUCAUGGUAGGGUGGUGGUAGUGGUGACUGAUGAUGAUGUCAUGGCUACAAGUCGCAUGUCACUUUGGUCUGCACCUCCAAAUGCCAGCAUACUUGCUUACACACUUAACAAUGCAUGGAAAGUAUUUCUCUCUAAACUUUCGUUUCUUUUUGUGUGCUAUUUCACCAGUGCACAUAUAUCUUUUAGUUUAUUAACAAAUAUUCAUAGUUGAAAUAUUCAACUUUGA
This 562-nucleotide long non-coding RNA is filed under the name Rattus norvegicus (Norway rat). Its description in RNAcentral is "long non-coding RNA NONRATT019901". The record is from RNAcentral. Lineage: Eukaryota; Metazoa; Chordata; Mammalia; Rodentia; Muridae.